CAACUCAUUCCACCUUGCAUGGUCUCAUCCUUUACUAAGCGCCUCGCUUGCCUUGAGCACCAUCAAGUAUAGUUGUCAACGUUGAGCCGUAGCUCAAACUCAGCCAUCCCAACCUUUGUGCGGUCCGCAUUCUUCCAAGCUUGCCUGUUCUCGUGGUGCCUCUUGCGCGAAGGGUUGGCCAUUCCUCUGAAUGCCAAUGUCAGAUGC
Molecule: long non-coding RNA, 207 nt
Filed under: Musa acuminata (dwarf banana)
Lineage: Eukaryota; Viridiplantae; Streptophyta; Magnoliopsida; Zingiberales; Musaceae
Description: long non-coding RNA (MACU_LNC007242)
Source: RNAcentral